This 463-nucleotide ribosomal RNA is filed under the name uncultured bacterium. RNAcentral describes it as "bacterial SSU rRNA". It matches the Rfam family "Bacterial small subunit ribosomal RNA", at positions 39 to 485 of the family's 1533-position model. The record is from RNAcentral.
GGCCGCGGGAAUUCGAUUCAGGCCUAACACAUGCAAGUCGAGCGGAUGAAGAGGGCUUGCUCUCUGAUUCAGCGGCGGACGGGUGAGUAAUGCCUAGGAAUCUGCCUGGUAGUGGGGGACAACGUUUCGAAAGGAACGCUAAUACCGCAUACGUCCUACGGGAGAAAGUGGGGGAUCUUCGGACCUCACGCUAUCAGAUGAGCCUAGGUACGAUUAGCUAGUUGGUGAGGUAAAGGCUCACCAAGGCGACGAUCGUUAACUGGUCUGAGAGGAUGAUCAGUCACACUGGAACUGAGACACGGUCCAGACUCCUACGGGAGGCAGCAGUGGGGAAUAUUGGACAAUGGGCGAAAGCCUGAUCCAGCCAUGCCGCGUGUGUGAAGAAGGUCUUCGGAUUGUAAAGCACUGUAAGUUGGGAGGAAGGGCAGUAAGUUAAUACCUUGCUGUUUGACGUACCGACAGA